AUUGAACGCUGGCGGCAGGCUUAACACAUGCAAGUCGAGCGGAGAGAGGUAGCUUGCUACUGAUCUUAGCGGCGGACGGGUGCGUAAUGCUUAGGAAUCUGCCUAUUAGUGGGGGACAACAUUUCGAAAGGAAUGCUAAUACCGCAUACGUCCUCCGGGAGAAAGCAGGGGAUCUGCGGACCUUGCGCUAAUAGAUGAGCCUAAGUCGGCUUAGCAAGUUGGUGGGGUAAAGGCCUACCAAGGCGACGAUCUGCAGCGGGUCUGAGAGGAUGAUCCGCCACGCUGGGACUGAGACACGGACCAGACUCCUACGGGAGGCAGCAGUGGGGAAUAUUGGACAAUGGGCGGAAGCCUGAUCCAGCCAUGCCGCGUGUGUGAAGAAGGCCUUAUGGUUGUAAAGCACUUUAAGCGAGGAGGAGGCUACUUUAGUUAAUACCUAGAGAUAAUGGACGUUACUCGCAGAAUAAGCACCGGCUAACUCUGUGCCAGCAGCCGCCGUAA
Molecule: ribosomal RNA, 501 nt
Filed under: uncultured bacterium
Lineage: Bacteria
Description: partial 16S ribosomal RNA
Rfam family: Bacterial small subunit ribosomal RNA
Source: RNAcentral